UAUUGCUCAAUGGGAGAAAUCCUGAAGCAGCAACGCCGCGUGGAGGAUGAAGGUUCUAUGACUUGUAAACUCCUGUAAAGAAGGAAAAAAUUCCCAUUUGCUGGGAGAUGAUGGUACUUCUGGAGUAAGCCCCGGCUAACUACGUGCCAGCAGCCGCGGUAAUACGUAGGGGGCAAGCGUUGUCCGGAUUUACUGGGUGUAAAGGGUGCUCAGGCGGAUUUGUAAGUCAGAGGUGAAAUCUUACAGCUUAACUGUGAAACUGCCUUUGAUACUGCAAGCCUAGGGUAUGGAAGAGAGUGAUGGAAUCGCUGGUGUAGCAGUGAAAUGCGUAGAUAUCAGAUAGAACACCAAUGGCGAAGGCAGUCACUUGGUCCAUUACUGACGCUAAAGCACGAAAGC
RNAcentral lists this ribosomal RNA (399 nucleotides) under uncultured bacterium. Its description in RNAcentral is "bacterial SSU rRNA". It matches the Rfam family "Bacterial small subunit ribosomal RNA", at positions 362 to 760 of the family's 1533-position model. The record is from RNAcentral.